Molecule: transfer RNA, 72 nt
Organism: Ovis aries (sheep)
Lineage: Eukaryota; Metazoa; Chordata; Mammalia; Artiodactyla; Bovidae
Rfam family: tRNA
About the family: Transfer RNA (tRNA) molecules are approximately 80 nucleotides in length. Their secondary structure includes four short double-helical elements and three loops (D, anti-codon, and T loops).
Source: Rfam
UCCCCGGUGGCUCAGAUGGUAAAGCGUCUGCUUGCUGUGCAGGAGACCCGGGUUCGAUCCCUGGGUUGGGAA